RNAcentral lists this ribosomal RNA (440 nucleotides) under uncultured bacterium. Its description in RNAcentral is "partial 16S ribosomal RNA". It matches the Rfam family "Bacterial small subunit ribosomal RNA", at positions 338 to 795 of the family's 1533-position model. The record is from RNAcentral.
CCUACGGGUGGCUGCAGUGGGGAAUAUUGGACAAUGGGGGCAACUCUGAUCCAGCCAUGCCGCGUGAGUGAUGAAGGCCUUCGGGUUGUAAAGCUCUUUUGGCGGGGACGAUGAUGACGGUACCCGCAGAAUAAGCCCCGGCUAACUUCGUGCCAGCAGCCGCGGUAAGACGAAGGGGGCUAGCGUUGUUCGGAAUUACUGGGCGUAAAGCGAGUGUAGGUGGUUUUCCAAGUUGGAUGUGAAAGCCUUGAGCUCAACUCAAGAAAUGCAUUCAGGACUGGAGGACUAGAGGACCGGAGAGGAUAGUGGAAUUCCCAGUGUAGUGGUGAAAUACGUAGAGAUUGGGAAGAACACCAGUGGCGAAGGCGGCUAUCUGGACGGUUACUGACACUAAGACUCGAAAGCGUGGGGAGCAAACAGGAUUAGAUACCCCUGUAGUC